RNAcentral lists this small RNA (608 nucleotides) under Staphylococcus aureus. RNAcentral describes it as "HMPRFS0000_2745". Lineage: Bacteria; Bacillati; Bacillota; Bacilli; Caryophanales; Staphylococcaceae. The record is from RNAcentral.
GUACUUGCUAUUAUGAUACCGAUUUUUGGUGUUGGUAAAACGCCUGCAAUUGUAGCGCUAUUUAUUUAUGUAUUAUUACCUAUUUUAAAUAACACGGUACUCGGUGUUCAAAAUAUUGAUAGCAACAUUAAAGAAGCUGGAAAAAGUAUGGGAAUGACACAAUUUCAAUUGAUGAAGGAUGUUGAAUUGCCGUUAGCAUUGCCGCUUAUCAUUGGUGGCAUUCGUUUGUCAUCUGUGUAUGUAAUUAGUUGGGCUACACUUGCAAGUUAUGUAGGUGCGGGUGGAUUAGGUGAUUUCAUUUUCAAUGGUUUAAAUUUAUAUGAUCCACUGAUGAUUGUAACUGCAACGGUACUCGUUACUGCACUAGCAUUAGGUGUUGAUGCCUUAUUAGCUUUAGUUGAAAAAUGGGUAGUUCCCAAAGGCUUAAAAGUAUCUGGAUAAUUAGGAGGCUAAGAUAAUGAAGAAAAUUAAAUAUAUACUUGUCGUGUUUGUCUUAUCGCUUACCGUAUUAUCUGGAUGUAGUUUGCCCGGACUAGGUAGUAAGAGCACGAAAAAUGAUGUCAAAAUUACAGCAUUAUCAACAAGCGAAUCGCAAAUUAUUUCACAUA